GACGUAGGGCGCGAGCGUUGUCCGGAUUUAUUGGGCGUAAAGAGCUCGUAGGCGGCUCAUUGCGUCAACCGUGAAAUCCUGCUGCUCAACGGCAGGUCUGCGGUUGAUACGGGUGGGCUGGAGUUCGGUAGGGGAGACUGGAAUUCCUGGUGUCGCGGUGAAAUGCGCAGAUAUCUGGAGGAACACCGGUGGCGAAGGCGGCGUCCUGGACCAACACUGACACUGAGGAGCGAAAGCCAGGGGAGCAAACGGG
RNAcentral lists this ribosomal RNA (253 nucleotides) under uncultured bacterium. RNAcentral's name for it is "partial 16S ribosomal RNA". It matches the Rfam family "Bacterial small subunit ribosomal RNA", at positions 524 to 776 of the family's 1533-position model. The record is from RNAcentral.